Molecule: transfer RNA, 58 nt
Filed under: Frieseomelitta varia
Lineage: Eukaryota; Metazoa; Arthropoda; Insecta; Hymenoptera; Apidae
Description: tRNA-OTHER
Source: RNAcentral
GAAAUAAAUAAUAUAAAGCUUCUAACUUUAUUAUUGGAUAUAAAUUAUCUUUAUUUCU